UUUUUCACACAAAAAUGUGUUAGUGCGUAGAAAUGUGAUCAGCUGAGCACAUGGUCUUAUGGAUUUCAUAAUUUUCGGCGCUUAACGUGAAAACAGUUAAAGCACAGGAUUCACAAACAUUAAAUUUAUGCUUAAAUCUAUAUGCGAUACAUUAUGCAUAUAAUUAUAAUUCACGAUAAUACCACAUAUGGAAGUAACUGGAAUAAAUUUGGACUAUUUCCUUCGGAAGUUUACAUGACUAUCCUGUCAAAAGGCCUCCCUCGUGUUUACAUAUUUUGACAUGUCGAGUUGUUCUGGGACUAGUAACAAUGAUGAAUGAAUACCUGCACCAUGGAAACAAUGUCAUUUGCAAACUUUUUGAACCUGUGCUGGGCGUUCACAUUGACAUUUCUUGUUCAACAGGAAUACAUGAUGUCGACCAACAGUACAGCUAGAUGAAGAUAUAAAUUUAUUCAAAAAAAUAAUGGGACAAUGAAUGCUAAAAUUGCCAAGAAGAAGACUGCCAAUUUACACACCAUUUUAUACAGGUAGGUGCUUAAAAGU
Long non-coding RNA from Mercenaria mercenaria, 543 nucleotides. RefSeq lists it as uncharacterized. Lineage: Eukaryota; Metazoa; Mollusca; Bivalvia; Venerida; Veneridae. The record is from RefSeq and is a predicted model, not a curated record. The transcript is spliced from 3 exons.